This 369-nucleotide long non-coding RNA is filed under the name Ananas comosus (pineapple). RNAcentral describes it as "long non-coding RNA (ACOM_LNC042088)". The record is from RNAcentral. Lineage: Eukaryota; Viridiplantae; Streptophyta; Magnoliopsida; Poales; Bromeliaceae.
UACCAGAUUUUGGUAUAAAAAUAAAAAUAAAUAAAAAUAGUAUGAGAUACUAUUUUUAUUAGAAUUAGAGAAGUAAAACAUAAGUCAGAAAUAACUUGUGCUAAAAUCGGAUUGGAUACAGAAGAUUUAAAAUUUUCUAUUGGAAACGGGACAAAUAAGUUAGUGGAAAAUGUACAGUCUCAGAAAAUUAUGAAAAUUGGAGAAUAAGUCAGAAAUAUUUUUAUGAGGCUAGAUUUAAAGUUUCAUAUUUUUCUGACACCCGGAAGGUGGAAAAUAAAAUCCGACAAUUUAUCUGCUAAAGAUUACAGUUCGGCACAGUUUUCGGUGACUAAACGGGGUCGAAACUGAAAACUUAAGAUAUAUUCUUAC